RNAcentral lists this ribosomal RNA (1341 nucleotides) under human gut metagenome. Its description in RNAcentral is "bacterial LSU rRNA". It matches the Rfam family "Bacterial large subunit ribosomal RNA", at positions 876 to 2288 of the family's 2925-position model. The record is from RNAcentral.
CUAGCCUCAGGAUAGUUUAGCGGAGGUAAAGCACUGAAUGGGCUAGGGGGCUUCACGGCUUACCGAACCCUAUCAAACUCUGAAUGCCGCAUAAAUGUUUCCUGGGAGUCAGACUGCGUGAGAUAAGUUUCGUAGUCAAAAGGGAAAGAGCCCAGACCUACAGCUAAGGUCCCUAAAUGAAUUUAAGUGGAAAAGGAUGUGCAGUUGCGUAGACAACUAGGACGUUGGCUUAGAAGCAGCCACUCAUUUAAAGAGUGCGUAAUAGCUCACUAGUCGAGUGAUUGUGCGCCGAAAAUGUAACGGGGCUAAAAUUCAUACCGAAGCUUAGGAAUGAUAGUAAUAUUGUUGGUAGAUGAGCGUUGUGUAAGUCUGCGAAGCUACACCGAAAGGAGUAGUGGAGAUAUCACAAGUGAGAAUGCCGGAAUGAGUAGCGAGAAUUAUGUGAGAAUCAUAAUGGUCGAAAAUCUAAGGUUUCUUGAGGAAGGUUCGUCCGCUCAAGGUAAGCCGGGAGCUAAGGCGAGGCCGAGAGGCGUAGUCGAUGCACAUACGGUAAAGAUUCCGUAGCCACCGAAGUCGUUAAAUACAGGGACACAGGAACAUAGCCUAACCCCACCGUUGGUUGAGUGGGGCGUAAGGGAGCGAAAAUUAGUAGUGAAGUAGGUGAUUGUACACUGGCGAGAAAAGCUGUAUGGAUUGACAAGGUGCCCGUACCGCAAACCGACACAGGUAGAUGAGGAGAGAAUCCUAAGACCAGCGGGAGAAGUGUUGUUAAGGAACUCGGCAAAAUGACCCCGUAACUUCGGGAUAAGGGGAGCCUACGCGAGUAGGCCGCAGAGAAUAGUCUCAAGCGACUGUUUAGCAAAAACACAGGUCUAUGCUAAAUCGAAAGAUGAUGUAUAUGGGCUGACGCCUGCCCGGUGCUGGAAGGUUAAGGGGAAGUGUUAGAGCAAUCGAAGCACUGAACUUAAGCCCCAGUAAACGGCGGCCGUAACUAUAACGGUCCUAAGGUAGCGAAAUUCCUUGUCAGGUAAGUUCUGACCCGCACGAAUGGCGUAACGACUUGAGAGCUGUCUCAACAACAUACCCGGCGAAAUUGAAGUACUGGUGAAGAUGCCAGUUACCCGUGAUAAGACGGAAAGACCCCAUGGAGCUUUACUGUAGCUUGAUAUUGAAUUUUUGUAUUACAUGUACAGGAUAGGUGGGAGACAGAGAACUAAUGACGCCAGUUGUUAGGGAGUCGAUGUUGGGAUACCACUCUUGUAGUAUGAAGGUUCUAACCUGCACCCGUGAAUCCGGGUGGGGGACACUGUCAGGUGGACAGUUUGACUGGGGCGGUCGCCU